Molecule: long non-coding RNA, 2126 nt
Organism: Mastomys coucha (southern multimammate mouse)
Lineage: Eukaryota; Metazoa; Chordata; Mammalia; Rodentia; Muridae
Exons: 3
Source: RefSeq, a predicted model, not a curated record
CCCGCCCCACGCUGGCGGGGGUGUCGGGGUGCUGACAGCCGGAGAGCUAAGGUCUCUUACCAGAGCUUGCCCGCUGGGCAAGCUGACCACCGGCACCGAGUAAGGUAGGGAGGAGACGUUGAACCAGGCGUGCGACUGCAGCACAAACUGCUCCUGCGGCCUCUGUAGGGGGCGGGGAUGACAGGCGCUUACCGCAGCCACUCUAGGCCUGGAGAUGGCUGCAUCCAAGCCGGGGACUCCCUGCUUUUGAAUUCCGCUCGGGUUUUACCCCACCCGCGGCCCAAGGCAAAUCUUCCCUAGGCCUGGGUGAACCCGCUCAAACCCAAAGCAAACUCCGGCACCGCCCCACGGGCCCCGCCCCCACGGGCCCCGCCCCGCCCCCCCGCGUCCAGCCCCACCUGGCGGAGGCUGGACAGCCCCAGCAUGGCCUGCACCGUGACCAUGGCCCGCUGCCCGCGCACCAUCUCCCGCAGCUCACACUCCACCACGGUACAGGGCGCCAAGCCGUCGCAGCUCUAAGGGGAUGUGUGGAUUAAAGGUGUGCACCACCACUGGCUCGCUUUGGUAUUUCUUCAAAGGAAAACAAGGAGAGAGACAGACAGAGACACACAGAGAGAAUCCACGUGUCCCCUCUGCCCCAGCCAGCCCAGCAUCUCAUUAGCCCCACUGUCCCUGCCUCCCACCUCCUCUGUCUUCUAUGCCGCCCACUCCCCCGCCCCUGUUGGAGCCCUCUGAGCCUUCUCACCACCAGAACUGGAUCCUGCUGCCCUGGCUUGGGCCCCUGCAGGAAUGCCUGUCUGCGCUCCCGAUUGUGAUGGACAGAGCGAAUGGAAGAAGGGCUGGGAGUGGGUAGCUUCGGGUCCACCUGGGAGGACAAGGGCACAAUGAAUUCGCUUCCAGAGUCUGCACCCACACCCUGCUCUGGCUGUCGGUCUGGAAUCUCUCCCAGCUCCUUCUCUCUCCCAGAGCCUUACCUUGAGGAGCUUGGGGGAUGGCUGUGUGGAGCAAAGGAGGCCCCCCUGCGGCUGCACAUCCAGGAUGUAGAGCAGGUGUGUUCCACCCUGGAGACCCAGCUGUCCAAGUCAUCCUGCUCCUUGUCACCUUCUUCUGCUGCCACCACCAGGGAGGCAGGGAAGGAAUUCCUGCAAGUGUCCAAGCCCCCAAAGUGCAUCUGACUCCCUGACGGACCUCUGGUAGAUCCUCCAGGACCCCUCAAACUUUACCCUUUUAUGAGAUCCUGGGGAUGGGACCCUUCCACAAGCUAAUCAUGCGUUGUACCAAGCUAUACGCCCACCUCCUCCUCCAAACGUAGGCCCCUCUGCCAUUUUCCCUUCCUAUGCCUAGUCUCUCACCCUCGGAGCUCCACUAUGGCUUCAGCUUGGACUGCCACAGGCAACAGCAGGGCCUUACUGUUUGGAUUCUGGCUGUUCUUGCUGGAGCGGAGAAGGUGAGAUGAAGAGGGACAGCAGAAUUUUAGACGGUUAAGGGAGAAGAGUUAAUCCCACCCCAAAGAGCAUACGCUGCUAGUUAGACCCAAGAUUCAGAAACAAGUCAUCGAGGAGGAAAGGGGACAAAGCUCUUGGGCAGGCCUUCCAGUGUGGAAGGGUUUCUGCAGGAGGGUCAGAUGGAGGAAGGGUGGCAGGCAGCUCAGUACCUCCUGAUCUGCAGCUGGAAGGAUACGGACUCUCCAGCUUCCUCUAGGUUCUCCACACUCACCAACAUCGUGAUUCCUAUCUAGAAGAGGGAAAAUCCAAAGUGACCACCCCAGUGUCCACACUGGGCCCAGUCCUCCUGCCUCAAAACCACUAUUAUUACCCACCACCUUCAUACCCCCAGGAUCUUCUCCACCCUGGGAUGUAAUUACGUCAUGGAGCCCUUACCCGGGUGUCCUUUUUCAUGGGGUUGCCCAGCUCACAGAGGGCUACCCUGGACUCAUUCUCCUUCUUCUGAGUGCAGACGAGCCUCUCAAAGCCCUGGAGGAGCACAGACAGGUGGGACAGAGCAGUAUGGACGUGGGGUAUCCUACGUGAUUGCAGAAGGCUUGCCAGACAGUCAUGGGGGAGGGUCCUGGAGGGGUUUCAAAGUGCUCUACUGAUGUAUCAUUUUUACUUUUUUUUUUUUCUCCG